Molecule: long non-coding RNA, 2735 nt
Organism: Callithrix jacchus (white-tufted-ear marmoset)
Lineage: Eukaryota; Metazoa; Chordata; Mammalia; Primates; Cebidae
Source: RefSeq, a predicted model, not a curated record
GAGGCUCUUCAGUAUUGGCCAAGAAUCUAAUAUUGGAUCGUACCAAAACACAGGCAUUUGCUUUCCAAAUUGCAUCCAUAAAGAUCCCACGGUCAAAUGCUGCCUUCUGACAGCAUUAACCAAGAUUUUAAGGCUUCACAUUCAGAUCAUUAAAAAUGCCCAUCUGUCUUUUUUAUUUAAUAUGCCAUCAGUUCUCCAGUUUGGAUAAAAUCUGAGGUCCUGCCCCUAUUGAAACUUCCCAGGUUUGCCAUGCCAUCUCUAUGUUAAUGAGGUUGCAAGAGUGCAAGAGUCUUUUGACUCCUCCAAAGAGAGAUCAGACAUGAGACAGCAAAGGAAUAAAACUGGAGCAGUUAAGUAAUAGCACCUCUCAGGUUUUGACUGGGCACAUUGCUGACCUGGAGAGACGGAACUUCUGAGCCUCGUUUGUGAUUAGAUAUGGCCAUCCAAAUGCUGGGCAAUGAGAUGUAAACAGAUAUGAUAUAUGCAAUUGACAAACAAAGCCCUGUAAAUGAAGAUGCAUGCUUGCACUUCUCUUUGACUCUGCUGUUUGCUGGAGGCAGACAUGAUGACCAGAGAGACUGUACACCUUAGAAGCCAAGAUGCAGACACCGUGGUGGACAUUGGUGGAGCUUCCCUUCUACACCUCAACUACCCAUUACUGGGUUUUGCAUGAGAAGGAAAGAAAUUUCUAUCUUGCUGAGCCUGUGUAUUUUGUAUUCUCUUUGUUAUAAGAGCUUGAUUGUCCCAUUUUAAUACAGAAUUCUAAUUCUUCGUGCUGAUUCUUUUGGAGAAGAGUGUCAAUGAGCAGUAGAAUCCCCUCUACAAGGGCAGCUGAAAGAAAAAGCAUCUUCAAGUUAGCAUACUGUCCCUUCUAAAUCAUCGUAUUAAAAAAGUUAAUUCUUUUUGAAUGUUAAUUCUAAUAUGAAAUGUUGAGGAAAGCUUCAGAGAAAAAGUGGCAUUUGCACUGAGACUUUAGUGUCAUGUGCACAUUCGCCAGCUGGAGGAAAUCUAAACAAAGACAUGGAAACAUGUGGCUAAAAGUAUAGAGUUUCUGGUGAGAUUGUAAAAGCAAUUUUAUGAUGGCAUAUUUGCAAGAUUGCUGUGCACUUUGUUAAGGAGUUUGGAUUUAUUCCACACACAAUGAAGAAGUGUCUAACCAUUUAAAUUCUGGAAUUGACAAGACCAAAUCUGUGUUUAGAAAAAAUACUCUGGCAGCAUGGGAAGAAACAUUUGAAGAGAAAGUGGAGGCAGGGAACCAUGGCUUUCAAAUUCCUGCCAUUCACUUAAUUUUGUCAAGGGUUCUAUCUCUAUCCAUCCAUCUACCUACCUACCUAUAAUCUAUUUACCUACCUAUAAUCUAUCUAUCUAUCUAUCUAUCUAUCUAUCUAUCUAUCUAUCUAUCUAUCUAAUCUAUCAUCUAUCUAUCUAUCUAUCUAUCUAUCUAUCUAUCUAUCUAUCAUCUGUCUGUCUUCAUACCUACCUACUUUACAGUAAGCAUAUUUUUAAAUUUGGACUCAGUGUGUUAUAAUUUUUAACACAGUAAAAUACAUAUUUAUUUUUAAAGAGUUUAUCAUUGUCCCUCUUUAAUCUAUCCUGUAUGUCUCCAUGGUAAGCAUACUACUCUCAGGACAAAUAUUCAUCUGGUGCACACUGGGAUGGCUUCCCACUUGUUCCAGUAUUGAAAUGUUGCCCUACCAGUUGUUAUAUAGCUGAUGCCUGAGCUCCUAUCACUCACCUCCACAGCUCUGGCUACCUGGUGCACCCCUAAGAACCCAAGACCACUUCUUGAUUUAGCAUUCAGAUGUCUUGGGGCUCUGACCCGCCCUACAGUGGGCUUCUGCUCUGAUUGAUUAAGCCUAGUCAUAAUUAGUUUUAUAGAUUUUAAAUUUUAAUCUUGGAAGUACAUUACGGACCAUAGAUUAUUUUGUCUAUAGCAAUAGUAGGAGGAAAGGAAAAGAAGGAACAAAUUUAAGAUACAUUUUGAACAUAAAAUGUAGGGAAUUGACAAUUGAUUUAAUGUGGGAAUAAAGAAGAGUGUUAAAAAUCUGGUCUUUUAAUUUGUGUAAGUAGAUGGUUGGUGAUACCAUUAACUAGAAAUGAGAUAAAGGGCAUACACACUUGGAGAAGGGAAAUAAUGUGCGUAGCCAUACCGAGAUUGAGAUGCCAUUGCAGCAUCCACAAGGAGAUGGUUCAGAAUGAGUUGGAUAUGAGGGUGUGCUGGCAAAUAUUAAACCACUUAUUCUCAAACAAUAAAGAAGAAAGCUCCUUUUUUCUGAAGCAUUUGCUGAUUUCCAUGGUGUAGAUAUUCCCACCAUGUCCAAGUUUAAUACCAAUGUGAUGUCAACAAUGCAGAGUUGGGAAGAGAUGGGCACAAUCUGCUCUUACAAGCCCAUUCCAGCACAUUAUUGGUUGGAUACCUAGGUCUGGAUCUCAGCAUGAGGUCUGAAGAUGAUAGAUAAAUUUGGCAGGCAACAAGCUGUGUAUUUUAAAACCUUUAAACUAUUGAGUUUUGAUUUUUGCUCCAGAACUUGGUAAAUUAAAAAUCUAUAUGUAUUCCAUUUUGCUGCUAAAAGGCCUAUAUAUUGUGCAGAUGUUGUAUGCAGUGUCUAUUUGAUCAGGUUCGUUCAUUUUUUCAAGUUUUCCAUGUUCCUAUUGAAUUCUUUGCUUUCUUACUAAUUACUGAGAGAUGUUUAUUAAAACUUCCUUUUGCUAUGAGUUUGUUUAGUUGUGUACAU